This 516-nucleotide non-coding RNA is filed under the name Solanum tuberosum (potato). RNAcentral describes it as "Bacterial large subunit ribosomal RNA". It matches the Rfam family "Bacterial large subunit ribosomal RNA", at positions 2128 to 2602 of the family's 2925-position model. The record is from Rfam by way of RNAcentral. Lineage: Eukaryota; Viridiplantae; Streptophyta; Magnoliopsida; Solanales; Solanaceae.
UCUUAGUAAGUCAAUUAUUUGUGAUUGAUUAUUGAGUUUACACAAAAAAAAAAAAAAAUUAACAUAAACCUAUACAUAAGGGAUUCGAGUCAUAAGUGAGAUAUCACUCUGAAAAGAUUAGAACUCUAUCUAACCUUGUAUCAAGACCUACGAGUUAAAAAGGACAGUCUCAGAUAGAUAAUUUCUAUAUAUGAAGCAUGGGUCUUUCAAAUGGUAAUAAAGGCGUGCAAGGAAUUUUAGCGGGUCGAACAUAGAUUGACCCUCAAAUGCAAAUGCAAAAGGGGGAUUGGCUUCAUGAUCCACCUAUUAAGCAAGGAUGAAAGUCAGCCAUAGUGAUCCAACAGUGCUGAGUGAAAGGAUAGUCGCUCAAUGAUAAAAGUUACUUUAGGAGAUAAUAGAUUGAUCUUCACCAAGAACUCGCCCAAUGUAAAGAUUUGACAAGUUGAUGUUGGCUCCUCGCCACAUGGAUUUGUAGUAUGUUGGGUUGAAUUGUUUACCCUGCUAGAGUUUUUUGUC